RNAcentral lists this long non-coding RNA (293 nucleotides) under Mytilus galloprovincialis (Mediterranean mussel). Lineage: Eukaryota; Metazoa; Mollusca; Bivalvia; Mytilida; Mytilidae. The record is from RNAcentral.
CCUACUUGCUAUUUCAAUAUUAGUUCACAUAAUUCGUGUAUUCUUAAUAUUGUUGCUUUACUAGUAUGCAUCUGUACAAUUUGUUACUUUUUUGUUUUUGCAAUUAAGUGUAUGUUAGGUCUAUGCAACUGUAAAUAAGGCAUACUUGCAUGAUCAUUAGUACACGAAGAAGUGAAUAUAAGGGAACAUCAUUUCAUCAGGAAAUGUUAAACAUAAAUCUGUGUAUGCAUGCUUAUAUUCUAUAACGAAUUAUAGUAAGUUAUAAAUGUGUGUAAGAGAAAGAGAGAUAUAAC